This 380-nucleotide ribosomal RNA is filed under the name uncultured eukaryote. Its description in RNAcentral is "partial 18S ribosomal RNA". It matches the Rfam family "Eukaryotic small subunit ribosomal RNA", at positions 592 to 976 of the family's 1831-position model. The record is from RNAcentral.
CAAUAGCGUAUAUUAAAGUUGUUGCAGUUAAAAAGCUCGUAGUUGGAUUUGUGGCGUACGGUGUGUUCCGGGCACUUGUUGUCUGAGUAACCUGCUGUUGCCAUCCUUGGGUGGAACCUGUGUGGCAUUAGGUUGUCGUGCAGGGGAUGCCCAUCAUUUACUGUGAAAAAAUUAGAGUGUUCAAAGCAGGCUUAUGCCGUUGAAUAUAUUAGCAUGGAAUAAUGAGAUAGGACUUUUUCGCUAUUUUGUUGGUUUGCGCAAGAAGGUAAUGAUUAAUAGGGACAGUUGGGGGUAUUCGUAUUCCAUUGUCAGAGGUGAAAUUCUUGGAUUUUUGGAAGACGAACUACUGCGAAAGCAUUUACCAAGGAUGUUUUCAUUAA